Molecule: ribosomal RNA, 563 nt
Filed under: Geastrum smithii
Lineage: Eukaryota; Fungi; Basidiomycota; Agaricomycetes; Geastrales; Geastraceae
Description: eukaryotic LSU rRNA
Rfam family: 5.8S ribosomal RNA (bases 178-332)
Source: RNAcentral
CAUUACUGAAGAUAGGAGGGUUUUGAGACUGCGUCAUGUGAACCGUGUGCUCGACUCUUACUCUUUCUUUAUCCACACCUUUUGUGCACCCUUGGGGAAUGAAUAUGUGUUCCCCCUUUUUUCAUUCAACACCGGUUAUAUUGCAUGUCUUAUCAUAACUCUAUGGAGUAAAUGUACAACUUUCAACAACGGAUCUCUUGGCUUUCGCAUCGAUGAAGAACGCAGCGAACGCGCGAAACGUAAUGUGAAUUGCAGAAUUCAGUGAAUCAUCGAAUCUUUGAACGCAUCUUGCGCUCCUUGGUAUUCCGAGGAGCAUGCCUGUUUGAGUGUCGUGUAUCCUUCUCAAUGUCAAUCUUUUUGUUUGACAUUGGAGUUGGAUGUUGCUGGGGUUUUUCAUCAGCUCAUCCUAAAUAUAUUAGCGAUCUGCCUUGAUCACAUCACAAUGUGAUAAAUAGAGCAUUGUUAUCAUCAAGUGUAGAUGGCUUCUAACCGUCGCAAGACAAAGCCAUGUCAUUUGACCUCAAAUCAGGUAGGACUACCCGCUGAACUUAAGCAUAUCAAUA